GCAGCUCCGAACCAGCACCUCAGGCGUGUGGUCCCUGGCCUUGGUCCGCAGCUUCCUUGGCACAGCCCUUGAGCCACAAGACACCACAUCGGGCACGGCCUUGAGAACACUGGCGCUCACCCAAGAAUGGGUCAAAGGAAACCGGAAUGAGAAGGGCGGGCCGAGGUGCUCGGGCAGGGAGAUCUCUGCCUCAGUGCUCCAGGCCCUGCCCUGCCAGCCUGGUGGAAAAGUCUUUCAUCAACCUGGGGGAUGAAGGAAACCCACCCUCCUGCAUAUCUGGCCAUCCGGGAGGCUGGCUGGACCUGAGCUGAUGGCUUGGGACUUUCCCAGGCCCAACCUGCACAAGAACUGAGUCUCUAGGGGAAAAUUCAACACCUCAAAUGAUGUAGUAUUUGAUCAUUUGUUGAUUACAUGUCCAUUCAUUGGUUUGGGGCUAUAAACAUUCUUGUUAAGAGCUGUGGAGAUCAGUGUUUGUUUACCAUAAAGAUUUUGCUUUUUCCCUUU
This 504-nucleotide long non-coding RNA is filed under the name Homo sapiens (human). RNAcentral's name for it is "non-protein coding lnc-GFAP-1:1". Lineage: Eukaryota; Metazoa; Chordata; Mammalia; Primates; Hominidae. The record is from RNAcentral.